GGGACUUUGCCAGCAUCUCUAGGAUAACAGCUUUUAUCAGCAAUGAGCAGCAUGCCCACAGCUGUGUGCAAGGGCUCAGCUGCCAGCUGCUGAUAAGAGCAGCGCUGAAUGCUGUGUCUGACCCCAUCACCCCCUGCAAGCUGUUGUGUGACUCCAGCCGCUCUGAGGGUUGGGGGGCUUCAGGACCCAUGUAGCACCCUCUUCCCUUCUGCAAAGGCCAGGGCGAAACAUGACCACUAAUGAAUGGGGCACAGCGGCACCAGGCCACAGGACAUGAAGAAGCUAAUUUGGAACUGCAAGAAGUUAAGGAGAUGAAAUGUGCAGCCUUAACUGCCUUGGGACCUGCCUUUCUCCCUGUAUCAUAAGCGACCUGUUGAAUCAAAAGGGAAGGGGGCUUGCUGGAGCCUCUCCGAGGUGCGGAUACUCCACCACCCAAGCUUGGAGUCUUGACUUUCCAGGCGAGAGCUCAAGGCCACCUUGGCUGCCUUUUCUCUCUGCCUCUCCCACUCCUGGCAUGAUAACAGCUCCCGGUGAAGGACAGUUUGCACAGUUAUCUGCAGUGGCUUCUCCUCAAUCUUUGCACGGAGUCCCUGGCCGGGGUGCUGCCGGGUGUGGGCUGAGCCUCGCUACCGGCUCCCAUCUGGCCCUUUGGUUUAACAGCUUUUUCCCUCAAGCUGCCCCAAUGCCCUCCUGAAAUGGGCUGUCUAUUGACCUCCGUCCCCAGGCUGUAACCAAGCUCCUGGGUGAGCACCAGCGCUCUGAGGCACGGGUGCUGCUCUACAGGAGGGCAGAGCAUGGGCACCGGCCAGCUGGCUUAGCAAGCCUGAGCCCUGCUCCACCAAGAUCGACUUCAGCCAGGGGUGGAGCAGGAAUCCUGCAUCAGGGCUAGAAACCGGCCUGGACCAUCACGCUGGCCUUGCUCCUCAGCCCAAGACAGCAGCGGUUCCUUGGCUUCAGCACGUGAACUUGUACCUGGCUGCUCAGUGCAAGGCCAGACUCCACCUUGGUGAGUCGGCACCAGCUUCAGUGGGGUCUGGCCAGGGAUGGAUUCAGGCUGACCUGCCAGAAGUCAGGGUCCCGGUCGGUCCUGGGGUCUCUACAGGGAUUGGCGAAAAAGGAAGGAGCCUUUUGCAGGUCAGUUACGUGGCACCAACUACACUAGGCAAGCUGCUGAUCUCUCUCCAUCCACGUUCUCCAAUCAUUCCCAUUGCUGUGGCAUCUGGCCAGAUGACACCUCAGCACCUGGGAGAGACGCAGCCCUGGGGGGACUGAGGACAGGUACUGUGGGACGAGGGGUCCGAUGAGUCGGCGGGCCUACUGGUAGCGCUCUCCUCCGACAUCUCGAAGCCACACUCGUGACUUUGGAAGCCAAUGGGGUCGUUUUUGAUUGAUGCCGUUUGAACGCUUGGUGUUGGCGACGCUGCCGAUAUUAACUCUCCACCCUGAGGCUUUCUCUAAGUGGAAGGUGGUGAGCUGCAGGGACAGAUUCCUCCCUGCCCUGAGCUCUCUGGUGUUACUUACCCCAUGUGCAGAAUGUGGGGGAGAUGCAGGGGACAAGGAACUAUGAAGGAGCUAGGGAGAAGCCGGUCAGAGCCAGGGGGUCAUGUUCAGCCCUCGUGUAAGCAGCUGGGGCCGGGGUCUGCGCCACAUCCAUGGCAGACGGCCUCGUGGGGCCAGAACGUCCCACAGGUAGAGGAAGCACCAGCGUUCUCCCUGUCCUCUGUCCAAGUGUGCAAAGGGCUUCAGAGUGCUCUCCCCACUCCGUACCCACACAGGGGGGACUGGACUCCUUUGGCAGAUGCCAGGGCCCAGCGGGCUGUCACGUUCGGGCUAGGCGGUGUCCAGGGCGCAGCCCCCGGAAGAGCAGAGUCACAGCCCCCAAGUAUUUGCCAACCUGUUUUUCUAACUCGGCUCAGCCAAACAUACCUUAAUAGCUGCUUGUAGCAGGAGGGAUAGACAGAGAGCUUUGUUUGUGCCCCAGCAGGGAGCGAGAACGCCCAGUGAUAAAUCACUUCAUUGCGCCAAUUGUACCUGAUAGCACUGGGCUAGCGAGCAGAUAACAGAACCCCCAGACCUCCAGUUACAAAUAGAAAUGGGAGCGGUGAGGGCAGCUUGUUUAAGGUGAUCUGAGUUUUAAUGGGUUCGGUGACGCUUACUCUGCAAUGGGCAUGAUAAAGGAUGCUUCAGACUGGCCAUAGUCUGUCUAUCUUCAUCACUCUGAUCAGCUGUGACCUACAGCGCACUGGGUUUGUGCCUGAGUUUAUUAAUAAUGAUCAUCUCCCUAAUACGUCAUUCUUACCCAGAACGUCACAUCUGUAAGCUGCAGGACCCUCAUGAAGAGGGUAAAUAACAUCCUCCCUGUUUUACAAAUGGAGAAACUGAGGCCCGGAGCUGGGAAAUGAUUUGUCCAAGUCUGUUUUGCUUCUUGAUGAUGUAUAAAAAUUCCCCAUCUCUCCCCCCACAAUCCCCUGUACAUUAUGGGGGUGCAGUUCUGGAUCCUAAAGGGUUUUUUCUCUUGCUCGUUAAUUACCUCAGAAAUAUUAAUAUUGUCAGACCUCGUCUCCCCUGGAUUCAUGGGAGGGCUUUUUGGUCUGCCUUGGAGAAAUGUAUUGUAACCUCUCCCACCUCAGUUAAAGGGGGUGGGAAUUCUGAGUCUUUAACCAAGACGUCCUGUUGCCUAAGGCUAGACUAGGCAUCCGAGUGAAACAGGCGCUAACAGAAACGGUCCCGAGGUUUCAAAAGUGCCUACGGGAGGUUGGGGAGGCGCUUCCACUUUUGGAGGCCCAACGUGGGACGUCUUAAAGGGGUUGUCAGAAGGGGCUGAGCCGCUGCCCUCUGAAAAUCAGGCUCUUGUUAAAGGUGCUUAGGUUGGGCCCUGGACUCACUAGCAUUUUUGAAAGUCUUGGCCAAAGGGCUGUAAACAGGCUGACUACAAUUUCCUUCCCUUCCCUUCCCAGCUGUGGGUCUCGUAUUGCUCGUCAUCCUCUCCUAACGAAAUCCAUCCCAACAAGCGGAGCUUCUUGCCAUCACCCUGAUCGGCUGUGUGUUCCCUCCCUGCGCUCUGUCUGGCUUUAGACUGUUCACUCUUUGGAGCAGGGUCUGCUACUCGCCUGUGUCUGUUUAGCACCCAGCCCAACCAGGCUCCAAGGCUGGCUGGUUCCUAGCCACUACAGGAAGAAACGCAAUCAUUGAGCUAGUUCCCCAGGCCCCGCAGAGGCGUCCAGGGUUUUAGUGCUGCUCCUCGCCCCUGCCCUCUCUAGCUUCGGUUCCAGUCAGUCUUGGCCCUUUCCUGGUUUCCAACAAUGGCAAACAGACCAGAGCUUUACAAAACCAAACCUUUGCGAACAGACCACAACACCCAAUAAAGCCUGGGAGCCACUGCCACCCAGUGGAUGAUAGAGAUGACACAUUGCUGGGCUGCAAAGCAGAGAACCCACAACAGCUGACGCCCCGUGACAGUUCAGCAAAUGCAUAGCAGGCCAAUCUUGAAUCCUCCAGCAUGCAUGUAUAAUAAGUUAGCUAUUGCGUCCAAGUGCACAGGUGGAUACCCCCGCCUUGUACACAAGAUGGAUCUUCAGAGGCCCUGGGGAGCAAAACAAAUGAGUGCACAACAUCCUCUUUGAGUCAGGUCAUCUUUCGACAUCUUUGUCCUCCUGCAGGAUUAUAGCCAUUAAAUAGUUUGCAUGGUUUGUUUCUGUGCAUGGUAAUCUCCUUCAGUCAGCAUGGAAACUAGAUGUCAGACAGGCCUUGAUGGCUCAUAAGAUCAGGAGUACCUGGUGCCCUCCUUUAUAUCCCUCCCACACAGUAGGAUCUAUAGUUAGUUGUUUUUUUUUCGCCCUCUCCCAUGGUUUCAAACACGUGGAUUGAAAUUGUCCACUCUGGGGCUCUGUAGAGUACGUGAGCUGAGGCCGGCAUUCUCGGUCUCGGUGCUAGUGAUCAGGUGUCCAGUCUGGCCACAGUAAAAAAUCUGGCAUUCAAAGAUGGUCCGAGUAGAUUCCCCAUGUGCCCAACUGGGAAAUAGCCCUGUUACUGUUCAGAUCAUGUGUGCAGGCCUCUGUGUGUUUGGCCAGACAGGAUGGAGUUAAAUCAGAGGAGGCUGUAAAUGCGGAAACCUGCAGGCCAGGAGCAAUGGCGAAGAUUAGACAGCCCCCUCCCAAGGCCAUGCCUCGAUCAAAAGAGACCUAAAGGCCCUGGAAAAGGGAGAGAAGGAGUGUGAUAGGAAGGGAGGAGAGGGGAGUUAGGAGAAGCUACCAAGCGUGUGUCAGAGAAAAGCUGACCGUCUGCCUGCUACCCAGAGGAACAGGGAGACACAGGGACUUGUAAACAAGCCAGAGAUGGACUCAGCUGGGCUGAGGGGCACUUUGCUCUAAUGCAUUGUCCCUUUGAGAAACGAACGAACAACGGGCUGUUUUGGAGACACUGGCUCUUGGUCCCUGCAAAUGGGAAAUGUCCCAGGCUCUCGAAGAGAAACUCCUAGUGGUGCUCAAACUAGACUGACUCUGUGUCAUUAACACAAUUGGGAGCCAGGGAUCCAGCCUGACAGUGGUUGUACCCAAAAUGAGGGAGGAAACCAGGCCUGUCAUGUAAGGGGUGCACUGGAGAGGGACUGAAAGAGGCCCAAGGCACAGUUUACCCAGUAACUGGGACACUUUAUAAAUUAAAAAAACAAAACAAAACUUGAAUCCAUCAUAAUUCAUACUAUUUAUGCCCCUUCUUGACAAAGCAGACAGGCCAUGGGCUGAAAGGGUCUCUCUCAUGCAUAGAAGGUGUCUCUCCAGGGGAAGUCUGAGGCUCUUGGCACGUGGAGAGAGCUUGCAUUGUGGAUAGAAAACUUUUUAAAAAUUGCAAACUGUCACUUCAAAGCCGAAGGGAUUUUUUUACUCAUCCUGCGUACAGGGUAGGGGAUUCUAUAGGGAAGCAUGUGAUCAGAGUCAAUUCUUCAGAUAGAUAGCCAGUUUAGAGUAAAGUGGGACAAGUUGUGUGUCUCUCUUUUUUGGGGAGCAGCCUGUUUUGUGUCUCUCUGAUUUGGGGUUCUUGUGUGUUAUUGUUCAGAAUGGUAAGAUAUAAAGCAGUGUUACAUUGCAAUCUUUCAGCAAAA
Molecule: long non-coding RNA, 5098 nt
Organism: Gopherus flavomarginatus (Mexican gopher tortoise)
Lineage: Eukaryota; Metazoa; Chordata; Testudines; Testudinidae
Exons: 5
Source: RefSeq, a predicted model, not a curated record